Long non-coding RNA from Notechis scutatus (mainland tiger snake), 1776 nucleotides. The record is from Ensembl. Lineage: Eukaryota; Metazoa; Chordata; Lepidosauria; Squamata; Elapidae.
GCCUGCUCAAGGAUUCCCACGCAGGGCAGGCGGGGGUCACCCACCCUGAGGAGGCACUGACCCGACACUCUUGGCCUCGGGACCAGCCUCCCGGAGGAGAGGCCAAGAAUGGACCCCCAAGUGCAGCCGCCCCGGUACAGCCGCUGGCCUCUCUGCUCAGUCUGCUGGCUCCUCCCGGGAGUUCACCUACGCCAAGCCUGCCUCCACUUCUCCAGGCCCCUGCUGGCGACGGCCCCAGUUCUUUGCCCCCCUUCCAGGACUUCAACAGCCAACUCCUCAGCCUCUUUGGUCAGCUGGCCUCCACGUCUUCCGAACAGAUCUCAGGGAGUUCCCCACAGCCGAAACCUCCCACCUCCCCGCUUGCAUCCCAUGGACCCCCAGGUGCUGCUGCUGCUGCUGCUGCUUCGGCUUCACUCAUGACUCCCAAAGCCCCUCCCACCCCCAGCCCUGUUACUCUCACCACCAGCACAGUGGAAGGUGGGGGCGUGGGCUGCCCGCUGCCCGCAGGCCCCGAUCCAUUCCCCUUCCUGGCACAGGAGCAAGCGCUGCCGUUUGGGAAUGCUCUACCUCCUGGGCUGUUCCCGCUGGGCUCCUUCCCCUUCUCGCUGACCUUGGGCCCAGAGACACCACUUCCCCCUCUUAACCUGCAGGAGGAGCCAGACGGACAGCCCCUGUUGCCUCUGGUGCUGCCCAGCCUGGAUUUGCUACAACAGCCAAGUGGGCUCCUGGCAUCCCUGUUGGCGCUGCCAGAGGCGGCUUGCGAAGGGCAGAGGGAAGCGGCGACCACGGAGCCAUUGUUGGAGCCCUUCGCCGGCUUGCCUGACACUCUGCAGCCCCUGCUCUUCCCAGCACUUUCCACCCCUCCAGCUGUCCUAGCUUUAAAUUCAGCAUUGUUGGCAACCGGCCUGGGCCCUUCUGACACAGGACCGAUCCCUACGCAGACUGGCCUGGCUAGCACUCCCGUGGCACCUACCUCCACUAACACCACACCGACAACUACUGAGGGGACCCCCUGUGUCUCUGGGCGGCUGAAUCCCAUAUUGCCCCAGCUUGUCAAUCCGCUGCUGAGUACCACACUUCUGGGUGACCUUCCAUCCCUGAAUCCAGCUUCAGGCCCCUCAUUGAUGGGAAGUCCUCUUCUCCAGGCCCAGCAGCCUCUUUUGCCACCCAAUCUGCAAGGGCCUCUCGGAAUCCAGCUUUUCCAAGGACAGCUGCCCUUACUAGCAGGCUCCAACCCGCUGGCUUGCCUCCUCCAGAGCUUACAGCUAAGCACUGGCUUCAGUGCCCCAGAGAAACUGGUGCUACCCAGUGAGCCUCCAGCCUCAGCCUUGUCCAGCAUGCUCCCUGUGCCAGAGACUGAGCCAAGCCACCAGGCUAUCUUGCCCCCUUGCACGGACACUGCCCUCACAAGUGCCUUAGAGUCGCCCAGAGCCCUUGAGCCAGCCAGGCAAGGGGAGCAGGAGGCCGCCUCAGGGCAAGAAGCCAGCGGUUCCCACUCCCCCCACAAGCGGCUCAGAUGUAGCCCAGAAGAGCUGAAUGGGGACUCUGCCAGCAGUCUUUCACGCGGAUCACUCCGGGGCAGCAAGACUGGACGUCGUGGGGGCGGGCGGGGGCGGGGCAGGCGGCACUUCAAUGGACAACUUCCUGAGUUGGGCUCAGGACAUCUCUCGCAUCCCACCUGGCGUUGCAAUGGGGAAAUGGUGGCUAGCAGUGAAGAAACCCAAGCAGGUCCUUUUGCUGUUCAGGAGAUAAAGGUAAGUCGAAGGGUUUCAGUGG